UCUUGUGAGGCAGGAAGGCUGACGGAGAGGUCUGAGGGGAGACGGGGCAAAAUGGUGGACGAUCUGGCUGCCAAGAGGAGCUGGACGGGUCGUGGGGCUGCCCCACAGGUAACCCGCUAUGCCAUCAGGACUCCGAGAAAGCAAUCUUAAAGGACCCUCAACUCUUCCUGAUCCAGGAAAGACCCUGCUCAGACUGGAGCCGCCCUGGGGCCAUGUGGGAACACUGGCUGGGCCGCCCAGGACCCGAGCCUGCGUCACGGCUCAGCAACCACCGUCAUGUGCUCCGGAAGGAAAGAAAAAGGCGAGUUUACAGCAGCCGCUCUCGUCCACCCUCAGCCAGUUCGCUAAGUCACUUCCAGACCCAAAUUUGGAAUUCAAAUUAAGGGAUAUUAGUUUCACCUUUUCUUCUGAUGGUGGUCCUAGUGCCACCUGUUCCCUAAUGAGCAAUCUGCCUGAUUAAAGCUCUUUUUAAAAAGCAAAACAACCCCCAAA
Echinops telfairi (small Madagascar hedgehog) is the source of this 492-nucleotide long non-coding RNA. RefSeq lists it as uncharacterized. The transcript has 2 exons. The record is from RefSeq and is a predicted model, not a curated record. Lineage: Eukaryota; Metazoa; Chordata; Mammalia; Afrosoricida; Tenrecidae.